UGGGGAAUAUUGGGCAAUGGGCGCAAGCCUGACCCAGCAACGCCGCGUGAGGGAAGAAGGUCUUCGGAUUGUAAACCUCUGUCCUUGGGGACGAAAAAAAUGACGGUACCCAAGGAGGAAGCUCCGGCUAACUACGUGCCAGCAGCCGCGGUAAUACGUAGGGAGCGAGCGUUGUCCGGAAUUACUGGGCGUAAAGGGUGCGUAGGCGGUUUGGCAAGUCAGAUGUGAAGUCCCCGGGCUUAACUCGGGUGGUGCAUUUGAAACUGCUGAACUUGAGUGAAGGAGAGGAAAGCGGAAUUCCUAGUGUAGCGGUGAAAUGCGUAGAUAUUAGUAGGAACACCAGUGGCGAAGGCGGCUUUCUGGACUGUAACUGACGCUGAGGCACGAAAGCGUGGGGAGCAAACA
Molecule: ribosomal RNA, 405 nt
Filed under: uncultured prokaryote
Description: bacterial SSU rRNA
Rfam family: Bacterial small subunit ribosomal RNA
Source: RNAcentral